UACGUAGGGUGCAAGCGUUAAUCGGAAUUACUGGGCGUAAAGCGUGCGCAGGCGGUUGUUCAAGUCCUGUGUGAAAUCCCCGGGCUUAACCUGGGAACUGCAUUUGUGACUGCACGGCUAGAGUGUGUCAGAGGGGGGUAGAAUUCCACGUGUAGCAGUGAAAUGCGUAGAUAUGUGGAGGAAUACCGAUGGCGAAGGCAGCCCCCUGGGAUAACACUGACGCUCAUGCACGAAAGCGUGGGGAGCAAACAGG
Molecule: ribosomal RNA, 253 nt
Filed under: uncultured bacterium
Lineage: Bacteria
Description: partial 16S ribosomal RNA
Rfam family: Bacterial small subunit ribosomal RNA
Source: RNAcentral